GGCCAUCGCGCAACGGAUAAAAGCUACCCUGGGGAUAACAGGCUUAUCUCCCCCAAGAGUCCACAUCGACGGGGCGGUUUGGCACCUCGAUGUCGGCUCAUCACAUCCUGGGGCUGUAGUAGGUCCCAAGGGUUGGGCUGUUCGCCCAUUAAAGUGGUACGCGAGCUGGGUUCAGAACGUCGUGAGACAGUUCGGUCCCUAUCCGUCGCAGGCGUAGGAAAUUUGAGAAGACCUGUCCUUAGUACG
RNAcentral lists this ribosomal RNA (246 nucleotides) under Clostridioides difficile. RNAcentral's name for it is "partial 23S ribosomal RNA". It matches the Rfam family "Bacterial large subunit ribosomal RNA", at positions 2440 to 2685 of the family's 2925-position model. Lineage: Bacteria; Bacillati; Bacillota; Clostridia; Peptostreptococcales; Peptostreptococcaceae. The record is from RNAcentral.